This 85-nucleotide transfer RNA is filed under the name Pseudobdellovibrionaceae bacterium. RNAcentral's name for it is "Bdellovibrionaceae bacterium tRNA-Leu". It matches the Rfam family "tRNA". From Rfam's summary of the family: Transfer RNA (tRNA) molecules are approximately 80 nucleotides in length. Their secondary structure includes four short double-helical elements and three loops (D, anti-codon, and T loops). Lineage: Bacteria; Pseudomonadati; Bdellovibrionota; Bdellovibrionia; Bdellovibrionales; Pseudobdellovibrionaceae. RNAcentral also lists the same sequence under 2 other names. The record is from RNAcentral.
GCUCGCGUGGCGGAAUUGGUAGACGCAAGGGACUUAAAAUCCCUCGAUCUUUUAGGUCGUGCCAGUUCGAUUCUGGCCGCGAGCA